Non-coding RNA from Podarcis lilfordi (Lilford's wall lizard), 73 nucleotides. Lineage: Eukaryota; Metazoa; Chordata; Lepidosauria; Squamata; Lacertidae. The record is from the annotation of a GenBank genome assembly.
GUCCUAGCUCAUUGGUAGAGAGUCUUGCUUUGCAUGCAGAAGGUCCCUGGUUCAAUCCCCGACGACGUCUCCA